GCCAUCCGUGGAAGAGGCUCGCGACGUGUUUUUCGUUCGCCAGGCGGUGGAGCGAUGCGUCGUGGAGCGUCUCUGCAGUUCGAUGUCGAAGGAUGGCG
This 98-nucleotide transfer RNA is filed under the name Ensifer meliloti. RNAcentral's name for it is "Sinorhizobium meliloti tRNA-Gly". Lineage: Bacteria; Pseudomonadati; Pseudomonadota; Alphaproteobacteria; Hyphomicrobiales; Rhizobiaceae. The record is from RNAcentral.